Long non-coding RNA from Cyprinodon tularosa, 967 nucleotides. RefSeq lists it as uncharacterized. Lineage: Eukaryota; Metazoa; Chordata; Actinopteri; Cyprinodontiformes; Cyprinodontidae. The record is from RefSeq and is a predicted model, not a curated record. The transcript has 4 exons.
GCUGCUUUAGGUUUUUGUCAAAGGAGUUAACUGAGAUGUAACACUGUGAUGCUUUCGAUGUCUGGGGAAAGGGAACCGAUGUCACUGUUAAACCAGAUGGUCCAGAUGUGCCUCCAACCAUAUUCAUCCUGAGUCCCCUGCAGACUCCUGGCUACCCCCCAAAGACUGCCGACGAGCUUGGUCCAGAUGUCUGUCUGGUCACAGAUUUCCGUCCAAAGGAGGGAGAUUUGGUUCUAAAUACCAAAGAAGGCCAAGCCAACGUCAGCUCUAUCAACCCUGCUCCGACCAAGACAGGCACCUACUACACUGCUGCAUACAGCAACGAGACCAUCAUCUCCUGUGAGAUGAACGGGACCUUCAGCAAUAAUGAAGCUUAUGAUUUAUGCAGGAACAUAUAUCCAGAAAAAGCCAAGCUGAACUUCUACCUGCUGCUGAUGAACGGAGUCCGGGUGGUGUUCACCAAAGCUCUGGCCUUCAGCACCGUCCUCACCAUCAGAGGCCUGCUCUUCUGAAAAUGACUGAAUUCUAAAGAAGCAGAAAUUAGAUUCAAAAUAUCUAUAUACAUAUCAAGAAAACUGAUCCACGGAAAGCCUUUAGAUUUUGUUUUUUUAAUUAGUAUUAUAAUUCAGACAAGAAUAAACCAAAGCCAAAUAUUUAAAUGUUAUAAAACACAUUUACGCUUUUGUAAAAUUAAUAAAGUGAAAUUUGUAAUCUAUAAGCAAAUUUGAUGGGGCAAAUAAAAAAAAAAGUUACAAAGAACUAUCAUUUUAUUUCAUCAUCGUUGAUAAAUGUAUCAAAAUUUUGAUUGCAUUUUUGCUGUACAUUAAGAUUUUACAUAGAUUACUGUGAAAUUUUUCUUAAUGUUUUUUCUUUCAUAGAUUGUCCAUUUAAAAUGUGUGCAUUUUUGCAAAGAUAUGUAUUUUGUAAUGAACUUCCUUGCUUCUGUGUUUUAAUUUUCAAGACCUAA